CCUACGGUAGGCUGCAGUGAGGAAUAUUGGUCAAUGGGCGGAAGCCUGAACCAGCCAAGUAGCGUGCGGGAUGAAGGCCCUACGGGUGUAAACCGCUUUUGUACGGGGAUAACACCCUCCACUUGUGGAGGUCUGCAGGUACCGUGCGAAUAAGGGCCGGCUAAUUCCGUGCCAGCAGCCGCGGUAAUACGGAAGGCCCGAGCGUUAUCCGGAUUCAUUGGGCUUAAAGGGAGCGUAGGCGGGCGUUCAAGUCAGCUGUAAAAUCGCGCGGCUCAACCGCGCCCCGCAGUUGAAACUGGACGCCUUGAGUUCACAACAGGCAGGCGGAAUUCGUGGUGUAGCGGUGAAAUGCAUAGAUAUCACGAGGAACCCCGAUUGCGAAGGCAGCCUGCCGGGGUGCGACUGACGCUGAGGCUCGAAGGUGCGGGUAUCAAACAGGAUUAGAUACCCCAGUAGUC
This 458-nucleotide ribosomal RNA is filed under the name uncultured bacterium. RNAcentral describes it as "partial 16S ribosomal RNA". It matches the Rfam family "Bacterial small subunit ribosomal RNA", at positions 338 to 795 of the family's 1533-position model. The record is from RNAcentral.